RNAcentral lists this ribosomal RNA (515 nucleotides) under bacterium symbiont of Megymenum gracilicorne. RNAcentral's name for it is "bacterial SSU rRNA". It matches the Rfam family "Bacterial small subunit ribosomal RNA", at positions 527 to 1041 of the family's 1533-position model. The record is from RNAcentral.
GGAGAGGGCUAGCGUUAUUCGGAAUUAUUGGGCGUAAAGGGCGCGUAGGCGGAUUAGUAAGUUAAAAGUGAAAUCCCAAGGCUCAACCUUGGAAUUGCUUUUAAAACUGCUAAUCUAGAGAUUGAAAGAGGAUAGAGGAAUUCCUAGUGUAGAGGUGAAAUUCGUAAAUAUUAGGAGGAACACCAGUGGCGAAGGCGUCUAUCUGGUUCGAAUCUGACGCUGAGGCGCGAAGGCGUGGGGAGCAAACAGGAUUAGAUACCCUGGUAGUCCACGCUGUAAACGAUGAAUGUUAAAUAUGGGGAGUUUACUUUCUGUAUUACAGCUAACGCGUUAAACAUUCCGCCUGGGGACUACGGUCGCAAGAUUAAAACUCAAAGGAAUUGACGGGGACCCGCACAAGCGGUGGAGCAUGUGGUUUAAUUCGAUGCAACGCGAAAAACCUUACCACUCCUUGACAUGGAAAUUAUACCUAUUCGAAGGGAUAGGGUCGGUUCGGCCGGGUUUCACACAGGUGU